RNAcentral lists this ribosomal RNA (253 nucleotides) under uncultured bacterium. Its description in RNAcentral is "partial 16S ribosomal RNA". It matches the Rfam family "Bacterial small subunit ribosomal RNA", at positions 524 to 776 of the family's 1533-position model. The record is from RNAcentral.
UACGUAGGGGGCAAGCGUUGCCCGGAUUUAUUGGGCGUAAAGAGCGUGUAGGCGGUUUGGUAGGUCCGUUGUGAAAACUCGAGGCUCAACCUCGAGACGCCGAUGGAAACCAUCAGACUAGAGUCCGGAAGAGGAGAGUGGAAUUCCUGGUGUAGCGGUGAAAUGCGCAGAUAUCAGGAAGAACACCCGUGGCUAAGGCGGCUCUCUAGUACGGUACUGACGCUGAGACGCGAAAGCGUGGGGAGCGAACAGG